Molecule: ribosomal RNA, 262 nt
Filed under: uncultured bacterium
Lineage: Bacteria
Description: partial 16S ribosomal RNA
Rfam family: Bacterial small subunit ribosomal RNA
Source: RNAcentral
CAACGAGUCGCAAGCUCGCGAGAGUAAGCUAAUCUCUUAAAGCCGUUCUCAGUUCGGACUGUAGGCUGCAACUCGCCUACACGAAGUCGGAAUCGCUAGUAAUCGCGGAUCAGCAUGCCGCGGUGAAUACGUUCCCGGGCCUUGUACACACCGCCCGUCACACCGUGGGAGUUUGUAACGCCCAAAGUCGGUGGCCUAACCUUUAUGGAGGGAGCCGCCUAAGGCGGGACAGAUGACUGGGGUGAAGUCGUAACAAGGUAAC